This 465-nucleotide long non-coding RNA is filed under the name Numida meleagris (helmeted guineafowl). Its description in RNAcentral is "lncRNA (ENSNMEG00000019774.1)". Lineage: Eukaryota; Metazoa; Chordata; Aves; Galliformes; Numididae. The record is from RNAcentral.
UUCCAGUUUGGGCUAUUUUAAGGUAUUUUUGUCUGAACAUGAUAAAUUUCUUUUUCAUAUGAUUUAUAACAUGUCAUUUCAGGAUACUGAAGUCUUCCAGACAACAUUAAUCUAUCGAUGACUCUGAGGUGAAGAUGUGAUUGAUGCAGUUACAGACAUUGGUGUCAUAGAUAUACAGGAUGUGCAGUUAAGAGACAGGAAUCUACUAGUAAACUGGUAAUAAACCUAAGUCUGGAAGGACCACAACAAACAUCUCACCUGAGUCUUUCAUUAAUGUGCCAAACUGUCUGACCUAAGAUCUUCUGAAAAAAUGAAGAAAAUCCAAUGAAUGGAAAAUUGGGGUUACUGUGUAUGCAAAGUGAAAUAAUAGUUAUUUGAGUAUUGAAUCUUCCAAAAGGAAAAUUUGAAAAUGAUUAAGUGCAUUCAGACAAGAAACUAUAAUGCUGGGAGAGGUGAAAAGGGGAA